GCGCCAGCAGCCGCGGUAAUACGUAGGGUGCGAGCGUUGUCCGGAAUUACUGGGCGUAAAGAGCGCGCAGGCGGCUGGUCAAGUCCGACGUGAAAUCUCCCGGCUUAACUGGGAGGGGCCAUUGGAAACUGGCUAGCUGGAGUGCAGGAGAGGCUAACGGAAUUCCCGGUGUAGUGGUGAAAUGCGUAGAUAUCGGGAGGAACACCAGUGGCGAAGGCGGUUAGCUGGCCUGUAACUGACACUGAGGCGCGAAGGCUAGGGGAGCGAACAGGAUUAGAUACCCUGGUAGUCCUAGCAGUAAACGAUGGAUACUAGGUGUUGGGGGAAAUUGACCCCCUCAGUGCCGCAGCCAACGCAAUAAGUAUCCCGCCUGGGGAGUACGGCCGCAAGGCUAAAACUCAAAGGAAUUGACGG
RNAcentral lists this ribosomal RNA (414 nucleotides) under uncultured bacterium. RNAcentral describes it as "bacterial SSU rRNA". It matches the Rfam family "Bacterial small subunit ribosomal RNA", at positions 505 to 916 of the family's 1533-position model. The record is from RNAcentral.